UACGGGGGGGGCAAGCGUUGUUCGGAAUUACUGGGCGUAAAGGGCUCGUAGGCGGCCAACUAAGUCGGAUGUGAAAUCCCCAGGCUUAACCUGGGAACUGCAUCCGAUACUGGAUGGCUUGAAUUCGGGAGAGGGAUGCAGAAUUCCAGGUGUAGCGGUGAAAUGCGUGGAUAUCUGGAGGAAUACCGGUGGCGAAGGCGGCAUCCUGGACCGACAUUGACGCUGAGGAGCGAAAGCUAGGGGAGCAAACGGG
RNAcentral lists this ribosomal RNA (253 nucleotides) under uncultured bacterium. Its description in RNAcentral is "partial 16S ribosomal RNA". It matches the Rfam family "Bacterial small subunit ribosomal RNA", at positions 524 to 776 of the family's 1533-position model. The record is from RNAcentral.